GACGAAUGCUGGCGGCGUGCUUAACACAUGCAAGUCGAACGGAAAGGCCCUGCUUUUGUGGGGUGCUCGAGUGGCGAACGGGUGAGUAACACGUGAGUAACCUGCCCUUGACUUUGGGAUAACUUCAGGAAACUGGGGCUAAUACCGGAUAGGAGCUCCUGCUGCAUGGUGGGGGUUGGAAAGUUUCGGCGGUUGGGGAUGGACUCGCGGCUUAUCAGCUUGUUGGUGGGGUAGUGGCUUACCAAGGCUUUGACGGGUAGCCGGCCUGCGAGGGUGACCGGCCACAUUGGGACUGAGAUACGGCCAGACUCCUACGGGAGGCAGCAGUGGGGAAUAUUGCACAAUGGGCGGAAGCCUGAUGCAGCAACGCCGCGUGCGGGAUGACGGCCUUCGGGUUGUAAACCGCUUUCGCCUGUGACGAAGCGUGAGUGACGGUAAUGGGUAAAGAAGCACCGGCUAACUACGUG
This 467-nucleotide ribosomal RNA is filed under the name uncultured bacterium. RNAcentral's name for it is "partial 16S ribosomal RNA". It matches the Rfam family "Bacterial small subunit ribosomal RNA", at positions 28 to 507 of the family's 1533-position model. The record is from RNAcentral.